RNAcentral lists this ribosomal RNA (624 nucleotides) under uncultured crenarchaeote. Its description in RNAcentral is "bacterial SSU rRNA". It matches the Rfam family "Archaeal small subunit ribosomal RNA", at positions 68 to 706 of the family's 1478-position model. The record is from RNAcentral. Lineage: Archaea; Thermoproteati; Thermoproteota.
CACCCGAAGGGUGGCAUACGGCUCAGUAACACGUAGUCAACUUACCCUGAGGACGGGGAUAACCUCGGGAAACUGAGGAUAAACCCCGAUAGGCUAUAAUACCUGGAAUGGGUUAUAGCUGAAAUCUACAUGGCCUCAGGAUAGGACUGCGGCCGAUCAGGCUGUUGGCGGGGUAAUGGCCCACCAAACCUAUAACCGGUACGGGCUCUGAGAGGAGGAGCCCGGAGAUGGGCACUGAGACAAGGGCCCAGGUCCUAUGGGGCGCAGCAGGCGCGAAACCUCCGCAAUGGGCGAAAGCCCGACGAGGUUAAUCCGAGUGGCUCCUGCUAAAGGAGUCUUUUGCCAGCUGUAAGGAGGCUGGUGAAUAAAGGGUGGGCAAGUCUGGUGUCAGCCGCCGCGGUAAUACCAGCACCCUGAGUGGUCGGGGCGAUUAUUUGGCCUAAGCAUCCGUAGUCGGUAUAACAAGUCCUCUGUUAAAUCCACCUGCUUACAGGUGGGCUGCGGAGAUACUGUUAUACUAGGAGCGGGAGAGCGAGGGUAUUCCAUGGGUAAGGGUAAAUCUACUGAUCCGUGGAGGACCACCAGUGGCGAAGGCUCUCCUAGAACGCGCUCACGAUGAGGAUG